Molecule: long non-coding RNA, 511 nt
Organism: Heterocephalus glaber (naked mole-rat)
Lineage: Eukaryota; Metazoa; Chordata; Mammalia; Rodentia; Bathyergidae
Source: Ensembl
GCCACGGGCUCUAAUAGUUGGGGUCGGGCUCAGUGAGGGGGUCUGGCUGCACAGAUAGCCAGAUGGAAAAAGCAAGUUGCACUGGGGACUCCAGCUUCUGGGUGGGAGGAGGAAGAUCCCAACCAGGAACCACUGCAGAAGGGACCUCUGUGCUGACCUAGAGGGAGAGCUGGGCAUCUGUCAGUCAUGUCCCUCCCCAGUGUGACUCCAGCCAUGGCCAUUCAUCACCUGCAUCCUUGGGCCCCAUGGGAACUAGCCCAACCCCUUAUCCAGCUGCCUUUGACUGCUGUGCCCCACACCCGCCUCUCGGGCCUCAGUGCCUUUGGCCAGAACAUUUGUCCAGUGCUGAAUGGGGUCCCCAGAAGAUAUGUGCAAAUCCUGAUCCCCAGGACCUGUGAGUGUUGACCCUCUUUGAUAAAAAAGAGUCUUUGCAGGUGUAAUGAAGGGCUGCCCCAGGCGUCAGCCAGCAAGAAGACAUCACCAAAUGAGGUCCUUUGGCCUUUCCCCAGAC